Long non-coding RNA from Zonotrichia albicollis (white-throated sparrow), 326 nucleotides. RefSeq lists it as uncharacterized. The record is from RefSeq and is a predicted model, not a curated record. NCBI's taxonomy places the organism in Eukaryota, Metazoa, Chordata, Aves, Passeriformes, Passerellidae.
GAAAGAAGAUGGUGAUGGUGUGCAAUGAGCUGGAUGAGCUGGAGAUUUCAGUUUGACAGGCCUGCAGUACUGAACUGACAACAUCUCCUGCCCUCCCCCUGCAGUGAAUCACCACCUCUCAAACACAACAACGGGUGCUGACUCCUCUGCCUGAUUGUUUAGGGAAGAUGCUGUACUUGGAGAGAAAAAACUCGUCUCAACCUGGAGAGGUGCAAAAACCCUUCUGAAGGGAUGAUGAAGAGCAGUGCCUGGGAUCAGUGGCAUAGGGCACUGUCACAAACAAGUCAGUUGCCUUCAAAAUGUUGUAAAAAAUAACCCCAAAUUGA